RNAcentral lists this non-coding RNA (129 nucleotides) under Paenibacillus alvei. RNAcentral's name for it is "SAM-I sequence". It matches the Rfam family "SAM riboswitch aptamer (S box leader)". From Rfam's summary of the family: The SAM riboswitch is found upstream of a number of genes which code for proteins involved in methionine or cysteine biosynthesis in Gram-positive bacteria. The SAM riboswitch acts at the level of transcription termination control. The predicted structure consists of a complex stem-loop region followed by a single stem loop terminator region. Lineage: Bacteria; Bacillati; Bacillota; Bacilli; Caryophanales; Paenibacillaceae. The record is from RNAcentral.
AUCUUAUCAAGAGUAGGUGGAGGGACAAGCCCGAUGAAGCCCGGCAACCGGCAAUGCACACGUAUAUUACGUGUGACGCACGGUGCUAAUUCUUGCAGGACGAUGGAAGUCGUUACUGACAGAUGAGAG